Molecule: transfer-messenger RNA, 364 nt
Filed under: Mixta theicola
Lineage: Bacteria; Pseudomonadati; Pseudomonadota; Gammaproteobacteria; Enterobacterales; Erwiniaceae
Description: Standard tmRNA
Rfam family: transfer-messenger RNA
About the family: Bacterial tmRNA, also known as 10Sa RNA or SsrA, is named for its dual tRNA and mRNA-like properties. Its role is to liberate the mRNA from a stalled ribosome. To accomplish this part of the tmRNA is used as a reading frame that ends in a translation stop signal.
Source: RNAcentral
GGGGCUGAUUCUGGAUUCGACGGGAUUCGCGAAACCCAAGGUGCAUGCCGAGGGGCGGUUGGCCUCGUAAAAAGCCGCAAAAAAAUAGUCGCAAACGACGAAAACUACGCACUAGCAGCUUAAUAACCUGCUUAGAGCCCUCUCUCCCUAGCCUCCGCUCUUAGGACGGGGAUCAUGAGAGGUCAAACCUAAAAGAGAUCGCGUGGAUGCCCUGCCUGGGGUUGAAGCGUUAAAACUAAUCAGGCUAGUUUGUUAGUGGCGUGUCCGUUCGCAGCUGACAAGCGAAUGUAAAGACUGGACUAAGCAUGUAGUACCGAGGAUGUAGGAAUUUCGGACGCGGGUUCAACUCCCGCCAGCUCCACCA